Schizosaccharomyces pombe (fission yeast) is the source of this 645-nucleotide non-coding RNA. The record is from the annotation of a GenBank genome assembly. Lineage: Eukaryota; Fungi; Ascomycota; Schizosaccharomycetes; Schizosaccharomycetales; Schizosaccharomycetaceae.
AUAGCGUAUUCACAAGUGUAGAUUUCCCUGAACCGCUUUCCCCUAAUACUAAUACGUUGAAAUUAAAACCUUGACGAACACAACGACGAUGCCAUUGAUUAGGAAGACUAGCGAAUCCAACGUAUCCGUUCAACUGACGCUGGAUUAUACUAACGUGCGGAUUGAACUAAAUAUUAGUAAAGGAAUUUUAAAUAAUUGAUUACCUCUUGUUCAGAAUUAUCCUGAAUGGGUUUUUCUUCAUUCUUGUUUUCUGAAAUGGCUGCCUCAACAUUUAUUUGCGUUACAUUAUCUGUAGAUGUGAAAGAAUCAACGUCGGAACCCCUGCUUCUAGUGGAAUCAUCUUUAACUGUAGGCAUACCAUCCGCGAGUACCAUUGACGCCAUGUCAGAAAUUAUCGAAAACCCCCGUGUUGGUGGUUAUGUAUGUGAUGAAGAGUGUAGCUAGGAGCUCGAGCAUGAACAUCUAUUUGCUCAAGUAGGAAAUUAAACUUAACCAAUUUUUUUCUUAAUUAUGUUUCACGAAAUUAUAGAGCUUUUUUGAAAUUUCUUAAUUCACUGUCGCGUCGAAUUUAGGUCCUUAACCUCGAAAUAUACACGGCUGGGAUGCAUUAAAUAAAAAGAUACUAAACAUUGUUAUUCCAUUGUU